RNAcentral lists this ribosomal RNA (468 nucleotides) under uncultured bacterium. RNAcentral describes it as "partial 16S ribosomal RNA". It matches the Rfam family "Bacterial small subunit ribosomal RNA", at positions 28 to 507 of the family's 1533-position model. The record is from RNAcentral.
GACGAACGCUGGCGGCGUGCUUAACACAUGCAAGUCGAACGGAAAGGCCCUGCUUUUGUGGGGUUCUCGAGUGGCGAACGGGUGAGUAACACGUGAGUAACCUGCCCUUGUCUUUGGGAUAACUUCAGGAAACUGGGGCUAAUAUCGGAUAGGAGCUCCUGCUGCAUGGUGGGGGUUGGAAAGUUUCGGCGGUUGGGGAUGGACUCGCGGCUUAUCAGCUUGUUGGUGGGGUAGUUGCUUACCAAGGCUUUGACGGGUAGCCCGCCUGAGAGGGUGACCAGCCACAAUGGGACUGAGAUACGGCCCAGACGCCUACGGGAGGCAGCAGUGGGGAAUAUUGCACAAUGGGCGGGAGCCUGAGGCAACAACGCCGCGUGCGUGAUGACGUCCUUCGGGUUGUAAACCGCUUUCGCCUGAGACGAAGCGUGAGUGACGGUAAUGGAUAAAGAAGCACCGGCUAACUACGUG